This is a long non-coding RNA of Cyprinodon tularosa, 934 nucleotides long. RefSeq lists it as uncharacterized. The record is from RefSeq and is a predicted model, not a curated record. Lineage: Eukaryota; Metazoa; Chordata; Actinopteri; Cyprinodontiformes; Cyprinodontidae. The transcript is spliced from 10 exons.
AGGUAAGGUUCUUGUCUUAGAGUUGCCGUAGACGUAUGGAGCUGUUAUUUUCCCUUUUUAUUUUUGUCUUUUAAUUUUCUGCAUCUGUUGGUGCAGUUUACAUUUAUUUUUAAUUAAUAUGAAUUAAAAUGUUGCUUUUAGAUGGAUUCUCCCCUCUAGGCCUCAGCCACGUGUUAGAAUGUAGCUGGUUAAAGCAGCCCUGCUGCACCUUCAUUCAGGCCAGAAAUCAGUGCUUCCCAUGGAUGAAUGAUGUAACUUUGUGUUGUUAGGGACAUCUGAGUAAAUGUGAUGAGAUACGACACUCUGACUCCAUGGGAAAGUUUCUGUGACCACAGGCGAGGCUGGCUAUGCUGGCUGCGCAGCUCCUGCUAGGAGCAGGCCGCAUUUAGAAUAGCCCAAUCAAGUUUUCACUUAACUUGAAAGUAUGUUCUAAUAGUUUUCUCCUUCUUUUAAGGAAGCAAUGGAUCGCUUACCUUAUGUGAAUCUCCACCAAAUGUGUUGGUUUUCGGGUAACCCAGGUUCCUGAAGGAGGUACCGCCACCAAUCUGGAUGACAUGCAGGUUCUUUGCCUCUCCUGCCUUCUGAUCCAGGUCUUGGAUCAGCUAUAGGAACCAGAGUCUGGAGCCAGUGGAUGAAGAAAUGGACAUCUCCCUGUAGCUCUGCAGCUUUUUAUUCACAGAGCCUCUGGGGUGUGACUCUUCCUGAAGAACUGAAGACAUUUGGAAACAUGGUUGACCAAUUCUGAACUGCAACUUGAAAUUAAGAACUCCAGUUUUGGAAAUCAUCUCAUGUGAAGGUGCAGAGAUGAAAGUGGGAGACCAUGGAGUAUGGUGACCUGGAUGGACCGAGUUGGUGGAGUUUCAAGCAGUGAUGGACUGGCAUAAAAAUUUACAAUAAAUCUACACUACUAAAAAAAAUUAAAGGAACUUUUUUU